This is a long non-coding RNA of Cydia amplana, 391 nucleotides long. RefSeq lists it as uncharacterized. Lineage: Eukaryota; Metazoa; Arthropoda; Insecta; Lepidoptera; Tortricidae. The transcript is spliced from 3 exons. The record is from RefSeq and is a predicted model, not a curated record.
GGUCACCGAACUCCUAAUCUACUCAUCAUAACUCCAUCGUGUUUGGGCUCAAUAGAUUUGCCUUGACGAGCGCCGUCGAUCUAGAUGAGUCACCAGAACUCCUAAUCUACUCAUCAUAACUCCAUCGUAUUUAGGAUUAUUAGAAUUGUCCUGACGAGCACCAUCUAUCUAGAUGAGGUCCAGUGUCUCAUGAUGGAGUCAGGAGUUGGUCACCAGAACUCCUAAUGUACUUAUCAUAACUCCAUCGUGUUUGGGCGCAUUCGAUUUGCCUUGACGAGCACCAUCUAUCUAGAUGAGGUCCAGGUUCUCAUGAUGGAGUCAGGAGUUGUACAUUAGGAGUUCUGGUGACCAACUCCUGACUCCAUCAUGAGACCCUGGACCUCAUCUAGAU